RNAcentral lists this long non-coding RNA (447 nucleotides) under Ananas comosus (pineapple). RNAcentral describes it as "long non-coding RNA (ACOM_LNC000712)". Lineage: Eukaryota; Viridiplantae; Streptophyta; Magnoliopsida; Poales; Bromeliaceae. The record is from RNAcentral.
UCUUUCCUUGUUGAUUCCUUGUUCUUUUAAGGAAGAUAGCAAUCAAAUCACAAUUUAUUUUCUUUCCUUCUACAUCCCAAUUUGAAUUCGAAUUCAAAAUUUUUUAUCUCAAAAAGAAUCCUAUUUUUGGCGCCCGGUUUUGCGUCCAAAAGUGUGGUGAGUCAGCGUGGUGGGUCAGCGUGCUUAGUCACCAACCAAUUGACUUAACUAACCGCGAAUGUUUCGGGCUGCUACAAUAAAUUCAGUUGUCUGAAUUCAGAGCCCUAAUUACCAGUUCCAAUUUAAUUAUCUAACCGCCAAACUUUUGGGCUGUUACAGUAAGUUUCAGGUGCCCAGUUUCAGGGCCCGAAAUUGUCACCUGCAAGCAAGGUCCGAAUCUAACUUCUCAGCAUAAGCACUUUCGAGCGCCCUAAUCAUGUUUCGGUGCUCGAAUUGCUGCAAAAUUCU